Molecule: ribosomal RNA, 433 nt
Filed under: uncultured bacterium
Lineage: Bacteria
Description: partial 16S ribosomal RNA
Rfam family: Bacterial small subunit ribosomal RNA
Source: RNAcentral
AACGAACACUGGCGGCAUGCCUGACACAUGCAAGUCGAACGAGACCUUCGGGUCUAGUGGCGCACGGGUGCGUAACGCGUGGGAACCUGCCCUUAGGUUCGGAAUAACUCCCCGAAAGGGGUGCUAAUACCGGAUAAUGUCUUCGGACCAAAGAUUUAUCGCCUUUGGAUGGGCCCGCGUUGGAUUAGCUAGUUGGUAGGGUAAAAGCCUACCAUGGCGACGAUCCAUAGCUGGUCUGAGAGGAUGAUCAGCCACACUGGGACUGAGACACGGCCCAGACUCCUACGGGAGGCAGCAGUGGGGAAUAUUGGACAAUGGGCGAAAGCCUGAUCCAGCAAUGCCGCGUGAGUGAUGAAGGCCUUAGGGUUGUAAAGCUCUUUUACCCGGGAUGAUAAUGACAGUACCGGGAGAAUAAGCUCCGGCUAACUCCGUG